AGCUAGUAAACUAAAGACAUUAGAUUUAUAUUUCGGCUAUAAAGUUGGUUUAUUUAACCUGCUGGUUG
This 68-nucleotide transfer RNA is filed under the name Polylabroides guangdongensis. Its description in RNAcentral is "tRNA-Arg". Lineage: Eukaryota; Metazoa; Platyhelminthes; Monogenea; Mazocraeidea; Microcotylidae. The record is from RNAcentral.